CACUCUGUGCAAUGUAGCACACGGCUCGUGCAUCGAUGAAGCCCGCGGCAAAAAGCGAUAUGUAAUGGGAUUCGUUGCCCUCGAGAUUCAUCAAAUUGGUGAACACAGUCUGGACCUCGCAAGAGGUACUUACGUUAGACUGCUAGUUUUAUAUCAGUUGAUACUAGGGAAAGGUG
This 176-nucleotide ribosomal RNA is filed under the name Naegleria sp. AM-2013b. RNAcentral's name for it is "5.8S ribosomal RNA". The stretch from base 1 to 145 matches the Rfam family "5.8S ribosomal RNA". Rfam says of the family: 5.8S ribosomal RNA (5.8S rRNA) is a component of the large subunit of the eukaryotic ribosome. It is transcribed by RNA polymerase I as part of the 45S precursor that also contains 18S and 28S rRNA. The record is from RNAcentral. Lineage: Eukaryota; Heterolobosea; Eutetramitea; Acrasida; Naegleriidae.